GUGAGGAAUUUUCCGCAAUGGGCGAAAGCCUGACGGAGCAAUGCCGCGUGAAGGAUGAAGGCCUAUGGGUUGUAAACUUCUUUUCUCAGAAAAGAAUUAUGACGGUAUCUGAGGAAUAAGCAUCGGCUAACUCUGUGCCAGCAGCCGCGGUAAGACAGAGGAUGCAAGCGUUAUCCGGAAUGAUUGUGCGUAAAGCGUCUGUAGGUUGUUUAAAAAGUAUUCUGUCAAAGAUUAGGGCUUAACCCUAGAUAGGCAGAAUAAACUUUUAAGCUAGAGUUUGGUAGAGGCAGAGGGAAUUCCCGGUGGAGCGGUGAAAUGCGUAGAUAUCGGGAGGAACACCAAAGGCGAAGGCACUCUGCUGGGCCAAUACUAACACUGAGAGACGAAAGCGAGGGGAGCAAAUGGGAUUAGAUACCCCAGUAGUCC
RNAcentral lists this ribosomal RNA (426 nucleotides) under uncultured bacterium. RNAcentral describes it as "partial 16S ribosomal RNA". It matches the Rfam family "Bacterial small subunit ribosomal RNA", at positions 354 to 796 of the family's 1533-position model. The record is from RNAcentral.